CUUCUUCUUGUUCUUCUUCUUCUUUCCUUGCCUUCAGUUCCAGCCCUCCCUGGAAGUACCAUGUGUUCUUGAGCUUCACGUAUGAAGAUAAUCACCAAAAUUUUGUUGGUUGUUUUUAUAAAAAGUUAAUCCAAAAAGGACUAUACGCCAUCAAAGAUAGUGGACAACGAGAGAGAGGCAAAUCAUCUUCACCAGAAUUUAAUCUGAAAGCCAUUGAAGAAUCAAGAUUUUUGGUCGUUGUCCUCUCUGAAAAGUAUGUUUCUUCCUCUCGGUGCAUGGAUGAACUUGUUAAGAUCAUGGAAUGCUGGGAGACAAUUAACGGACAAGUAGUUGUACCCAUUUUCUAUAACGUUGAUCCAUCUGCUAUAAUCGAGUUCCAGAGAGGCAGUACUGCAGCAGAAGCCUCUGUGAAGCUCGAAGAAAAUUUCAUGGAGGAGAGGGAAAAAAUGCAAAGAUGGAGGGAAGCUCUAACAAAAGUGGCCACCACAACAUACGGUUGGGUUUCACGUGGAUGGUAAUUUUAAAAUCUUAAUUUAUUCCAUUGUUCUAUUAAUUAACCAAGUUAAUUAUAUUUUAGAUCAUCGUCAAGAGUUUAAAUUAGAAAUAAAUUGAUAUUUUCUUUUUGGUAUUUCAGAAAUAUUUUAAGGGGAUGGAGAUGUUGGGGUUUGAACCUUAGAUCCUUUAAUAUUUCUCUUAUUUUUCCACUUUUGUUGGUAAUUAGAAUUUUUUUUAUAUAAUAAACUUUGAUUAUGCUAAAGGCAAAUGAUCAGGUAAUGACUUUAACCACUCAAUUCGUAAUUGAGAUAGCAUUAAUUGUCCUUUUAACAUAUAGUGAAAAAGUUGCAGUAAUUAAUUUUGGAUUUUUCUGUGUUUUAGUUUUUACAACUUCAUCCGAGUCUGAUUCAACUUCAUAAUCUAGCUAUGGCUAUCCUUUUCACUUACAUCUAUACAGUUUGAUUACAGUAAUUAUGUAGGUAUGUCGAGCUAGGCGUUAUAGCUUGGCAUUAACGCCCAGGACUAGAAAAACAUGCCAGGGGAGUAUGAGUUCAUGAGUUGCUUUGAUUUUUAUUUAUUUAUUUUU
Molecule: unclassified non-coding RNA, 1081 nt
Filed under: Hevea brasiliensis (rubber tree)
Lineage: Eukaryota; Viridiplantae; Streptophyta; Magnoliopsida; Malpighiales; Euphorbiaceae
Source: RNAcentral